RNAcentral lists this transfer RNA (66 nucleotides) under Cotesia flavipes. RNAcentral's name for it is "tRNA-Pro". Lineage: Eukaryota; Metazoa; Arthropoda; Insecta; Hymenoptera; Braconidae. The record is from RNAcentral.
CAAAAUAUAGUUUAAAAAAAAUAUUAAUUUUGGAAGUUAAUGAUAUAAAAUAAAUUAUUUUUUUGA